CAGCCCCUGACCAUGGCCUGGACCCCGCUCCUCCUGGGCCUCCUGGCUCACUGCACAGGUUCUGUAUCUUCCUAUGAGGUGAAUCAGCCUCCCUCAGUCUCUGUGAGCCCGGGAGGGGAGUCCAAGAUGACCUGUGCGGGAGACAACAUUGGAGGCAAAUAUGUUUCCUGGUAUCAGCAGAAGCCAGGCAAGGCCCCAGUGAUGGUCAUCAACAGUAAUAACAACCGGCCCUCAGGGAUCCCUGACCGCUUCUCUGGCUCCAAAUCUGGCAACCUGGCCACCCUGACCAUCACAGGAGUCCAGGCUGAGGAUGAGGCUGACUAUUACUGUGCAGCAGUGCGGGCAGCUGGCAGUGAGCACAGUGGCACAGACACUGGGGAAGUGGGUUCUGUAUCUUCCUAUGAAGUGAAUCAGCCGCCCUCAGUCUCUGUGAGCCCAAGAGGGGAGGCCAAGAUGACCUGUGCAGGAGACAAUAUUGGAGGCAAAAUUGUUUCCUGGUACCAGCAGAAGCCAGGCCAGGCCCCAGUGCUGGUCAUCUACAGUGAUAACAAGCGGCCCUCAGGGAUUCCUGACCGGUUCUCUGGCCACAAGCCUGGCAACAUGGCCACCCUGACCAUCACAGGAGUCCAGACUGAGGAUGAGGCCGACUAUUACUGUUUAGCAGCUGUUAGCAUUGGGAGCAGCUGGCAGUGA
Sorex fumeus (smoky shrew) is the source of this 693-nucleotide non-coding RNA. The record is from the annotation of a RefSeq genome assembly. NCBI's taxonomy places the organism in Eukaryota, Metazoa, Chordata, Mammalia, Eulipotyphla, Soricidae.